This is a non-coding RNA of Mesitornis unicolor (brown roatelo), 426 nucleotides long. The record is from the annotation of a RefSeq genome assembly. NCBI's taxonomy places the organism in Eukaryota, Metazoa, Chordata, Aves, Mesitornithiformes, Mesitornithidae.
AUGAUGCUGCUGGCAGCACUCCUGGCCACAGUCACUUGGUCCUAUGGAUUUGCACAAGAAAUUCUCAUGCAGAUUCCUGUGUCUGUCACCAAGUCUAAAGGAAGUGUACGUCUGGAAUGUCACUUCAAAAAAUUAUCUGGAGAUUUUGAUGGCACCACCAUGCACUGGUAUCAACAGAAGGAGAAUAAAGCUCCAGAGAGGAUGCUUUAUUUUUCACGGGCAAAAGUAGUAGAUGAGGGCUUCCAAGCGCACAGGUAUCAGACUGAAAAAGUUUCUAGCCAGAAACUGUGUAUUCUUACAAUAAACAAUGUCAUUCCAGACGACGCUGCUACCUACUAUUGCGCCUACUGGGAUACACACUAUGGUAGAAACUCAGAGAUCCCCCAGACAAAUACUCUCUCAGCAUCUCAACCACAAACAACUUGA